GGGUUGUGAGGUUAAGCGACUAAGCGUACACGGUGGAUGCCCUGGCAGUCAGAGGCGAUGAAGGACGUGCUAAUCUGCGAUAAGCGUCGGUAAGGUGAUAUGAACCGUUAUAACCGGCGAUUUCCGAAUGGGGAAACCCAGUGUGUUUCGACACACUAUCAUUAACUGAAUCCAUAGGUUAAUGAGGCGAACCGGGGGAACUGAAACAUCUAAGUACCCCGAGGAAAAGAAAUCAACCGAGAUUCCCCCAGUAGCGGCGAGCGAACGGGGAGCAGCCCAGAGCCUGAAUCAGUGUGUGUGUUAGUGGAAGCGUCUGGAAAGGCGCGCGAUACAGGGUGACAGCCCCGUACACAAAAAUGCACAUGCUGUGAGCUCGAUGAGUAGGGCGGGACACGUGGUAUCCUGUCUGAAUAUGGGGGGACCAUCCUCCAAGGCUAAAUACUCCUGACUGACCGAUAGUGAACCAGUACCGUGAGGGAAAGGCGAAAAGAACCCCGGCGAGGGGAGUGAAAAAGAACCUGAAACCGUGUACGUACAAGCAGUGGGAGCACGCUUAGGCGUGUGACUGCGUACCUUUUGUAUAAUGGGUCAGCGACUUAUAUUCUGUAGCAAGGUUAACCGAAUAGGGGAGCCGAAGGGAAACCGAGUCUUAACUGGGCGUUAAGUUGCAGGGUAUAGACCCGAAACCCGGUGAUCUAGCCAUGGGCAGGUUGAAGGUUGGGUAACACUAACUGGAGGACCGAACCGACUAAUGUUGAAAAAUUAGCGGAUGACUUGUGGCUGGGGGUGAAAGGCCAAUCAAACCGGGAGAUAGCUGGUUCUCCCCGAAAGCUAUUUAGGUAGCGCCUCGUGAAUUCAUCUCCGGGGGUAGAGCACUGUUUCGGCAAGGGGGUCAUCCCGACUUACCAACCCGAUGCAAACUGCGAAUACCGGAGAAUGUUAUCACGGGAGACACACGGCGGGUGCUAACGUCCGUCGUGAAGAGGGAAACAACCCAGACCGCCAGCUAAGGUCCCAAAGUCAUGGUUAAGUGGGAAACGAUGUGGGAAGGCCCAGACAGCCAGGAUGUUGGCUUAGAAGCAGCCAUCAUUUAAAGAAAGCGUAAUAGCUCACUGGUCGAGUCGGCCUGCGCGGAAGAUGUAACGGGGCUAAACCAUGCACCGAAGCUGCGGCAGCGACGCUUAUGCGUUGUUGGGUAGGGGAGCGUUCUGUAAGCCUGCGAAGGUGUGCUGUGAGGCAUGCUGGAGGUAUCAGAAGUGCGAAUGCUGACAUAAGUAACGAUAAAGCGGGUGAAAAGCCCGCUCGCCGGAAGACCAAGGGUUCCUGUCCAACGUUAAUCGGGGCAGGGUGAGUCGACCCCUAAGGCGAGGCCGAAAGGCGUAGUCGAUGGGAAACAGGUUAAUAUUCCUGUACUUGGUGUUACUGCGAAGGGGGGACGGAGAAGGCUAUGUUGGCCGGGCGACGGUUGUCCCGGUUUAAGCGUGUAGGCUGGUUUUCCAGGCAAAUCCGGAAAAUCAAGGCUGAGGCGUGAUGACGAGGCACUACGGUGCUGAAGCAACAAAUGCCCUGCUUCCAGGAAAAGCCUCUAAGCAUCAGGUAACAUCAAAUCGUACCCCAAACCGACACAGGUGGUCAGGUAGAGAAUACCAAGGCGCUUGAGAGAACUCGGGUGAAGGAACUAGGCAAAAUGGUGCCGUAACUUCGGGAGAAGGCACGCUGAUAUGUAGGUGAAGUCCCUCGCGGAUGGAGCUGAAAUCAGUCGAAGAUACCAGCUGGCUGCAACUGUUUAUUAAAAACACAGCACUGUGCAAACACGAAAGUGGACGUAUACGGUGUGACGCCUGCCCGGUGCCGGAAGGUUAAUUGAUGGGGUCAGCGCAAGCGAAGCUCUUGAUCGAAGCCCCGGUAAACGGCGGCCGUAACUAUAACGGUCCUAAGGUAGCGAAAUUCCUUGUCGGGUAAGUUCCGACCUGCACGAAUGGCGUAAUGAUGGCCAGGCUGUCUCCACCCGAGACUCAGUGAAAUUGAACUCGCUGUGAAGAUGCAGUGUACCCGCGGCAAGACGGAAAGACCCCGUGAACCUUUACUAUAGCUUGACACUGAACAUUGAGCCUUGAUGUGUAGGAUAGGUGGGAGGCUUUGAAGUGUGGACGCCAGUCUGCAUGGAGCCGACCUUGAAAUACCACCCUUUAAUGUUUGAUGUUCUAACGUUGACCCGUGAUCCGGGUUGCGGACAGUGUCUGGUGGGUAGUUUGACUGGGGCGGUCUCCUCCUAAAGAGUAACGGAGGAGCACGAAGGUUGGCUAAUCCUGGUCGGACAUCAGGAGGUUAGUGCAAUGGCAUAAGCCAGCUUGACUGCGAGCGUGACGGCGCGAGCAGGUGCGAAAGCAGGUCAUAGUGAUCCGGUGGUUCUGAAUGGAAGGGCCAUCGCUCAACGGAUAAAAGGUACUCCGGGGAUAACAGGCUGAUACCGCCCAAGAGUUCAUAUCGACGGCGGUGUUUGGCACCUCGAUGUCGGCUCAUCACAUCCUGGGGCUGAAGUAGGUCCCAAGGGUAUGGCUGUUCGCCAUUUAAAGUGGUACGCGAGCUGGGUUUAGAACGUCGUGAGACAGUUCGGUCCCUAUCUGCCGUGGGCGCUGGAGAAUUGAGGGGGGCUGCUCCUAGUACGAGAGGACCGGAGUGGACGCAUCACUGGUGUUCGGGUUGUCAUGCCAAUGGCACUGCCCGGUAGCUAAAUGCGGAAGAGAUAAGUGCUGAAAGCAUCUAAGCACGAAACUUGCCCCGAGAUGAGUUCUCCCUGACUCCUUGAGAGUCCUGAAGGAACGUUGAAGACGACGACGUUGAUAGGCCGGGUGUGUAAGCGCAGCGAUGCGUUGAGCUAACCGGUACUAAUGAACCGUGAGGCUUAACCUUACAACGCCGAAG
Molecule: ribosomal RNA, 2925 nt
Filed under: Escherichia coli
Lineage: Bacteria; Pseudomonadati; Pseudomonadota; Gammaproteobacteria; Enterobacterales; Enterobacteriaceae
Description: 23S ribosomal RNA
Rfam family: Bacterial large subunit ribosomal RNA
Source: RNAcentral